Molecule: ribosomal RNA, 377 nt
Filed under: uncultured bacterium
Lineage: Bacteria
Description: bacterial SSU rRNA
Rfam family: Bacterial small subunit ribosomal RNA
Source: RNAcentral
AUACGUAGAGGGCAAGCGUUGUCCGGAUUUAUUGGGUGUAAAGGGUACGCAGGCGGUCUAUCAAGUCAGGAGUGAAAUCCACUGGCUCAACCAGUGAACUGCUUUUGAAACUGAUAGACUUGAGGACAAGAGAAGAAAGCGGAAUUCCUGGUGUAGUGGUGAAAUACGUAGAUAUCAGGAAGAAUACCUAUGGCGAAAGCAGCUUUCUAACUUGUAUCUGACGCUGAGGUACGAAAGCUAGGGUAGCAAACGGGAUUAGAUACCCCGGUAGUCCUAGCUGUAAACGCUGGAUACUAGGUGUUGGGGGUUCGAUUCCUUCAGUGCCGUAAGUUAACGCUUUAAGUAUCCCACCUGGGGAGUACGAUCGCAAGGUUGAA